AGGCUCGCUUCGGCGGGUCGAUC
Molecule: small nuclear RNA, 23 nt
Filed under: Arabidopsis thaliana (thale cress)
Lineage: Eukaryota; Viridiplantae; Streptophyta; Magnoliopsida; Brassicales; Brassicaceae
Description: snRNA_05701
Source: RNAcentral